Molecule: ribosomal RNA, 16 nt
Filed under: Cryptococcus deneoformans
Lineage: Eukaryota; Fungi; Basidiomycota; Tremellomycetes; Tremellales; Cryptococcaceae
Description: Cryptococcus neoformans var. neoformans partial 18S ribosomal RNA
Source: RNAcentral
GAAAGGGAUCAGUAGA